CUGCAAGACGUAAAAUGAGGUCAUGUGACACGUUCUUGCAUGGCCUAAUUCGACUGGCUACUUCAGGAUAUUAGUAGAAUGCUCUUCUUACAUCUUCCUGUUCGAAUGAUCAGUAGAGCAGUUUGGGUCACUCAUCUAUUGUAAUUAAAUUACUCUUUUUUGGAGUUGCCAUUAAUCUAAUCCUUGCUCGGUAGAGCAUUCGUCCGAAUUCUCCAUAGGACUCUCACAUAUAGACUAUAUAGAGCAGUGGGCAUAUAAUAGUCAUUGAGGGAGCUUUAAUGUCUCGUUGCAAAGAAUCAGCUGAAGCCAAUCGCUGCCAUAUUGGUAAUCCUUAAAUUCGUAUCUUUGCAGUUGGAAUUGGAUGCUCUUCAGUGUAGUUAAUAUACAGUAAACCCCUGCUAAUCCGCUAAUAUACAGUAAAUCCCCAAAUGAUAUAUAAAGUGUAUAGUGUACUGGUUAUAUGAUGAAUCAUUUCUGUUGAAACUGAACAACUAUUUCACACUAUGAUAAUUAAUAAAACUUUUAAUUUACAAAAGGAACAUAUAUUAACACUAGAACUUCACACAGUUCGUCCAUGUCUGAAGAACAAAAAAAAACAAAAAAAAAACAAAAAAAGGGCGGGGGAAAAACAAGAGGGCACUCAAGAGAAAAAAACGACUAGUGUUGCACCAAAAAAAAAACAACAGAUCAUGAAAAUGUUUAGAAAAAUAUUUUCCUUAUUUUUCAACAAUUUCGAAUCUCCAAUACUGUCAUACGGAAAUUAAUUACACAAAAUUCAUACGUGUGGUCGAAUCACUUUCAACUAAGCAAGAACACGAACAUUACCGAUUUUUUUACUAACCACGAUUGCAUGGAUUUACUUAUUUGCAUAAACUGUUCUUUCACAACCAGAUAACCACCAGUUAGCCAGUGAAAUAUCUGCCAAGAAAUAACACCCAAAGUAGUUGGAGCUUCAGUUUCUUCGUUUUAUCACCGACUGUUCACGGCUUGUUUGCGAAAGGUCAUCGUUUUGAGCAUCUUUAAAUUGUAAACAAGAGAUUAUUUCAAAUGAGGAAAGCAGAAAAGAGAAAUAAUGUACGUACUUACUUUCACCAUGGACGAGUAUUAAAUUUUGCAUCUCGUUAACCGAUGA
Molecule: long non-coding RNA, 1132 nt
Organism: Centruroides sculpturatus (bark scorpion)
Lineage: Eukaryota; Metazoa; Arthropoda; Arachnida; Scorpiones; Buthidae
Exons: 3
Source: RefSeq, a predicted model, not a curated record